UGCAAUAUUUGAUCAAAGCACCACACACUUGAUAAAUGCAUAGUUGAAAGAGAAAGAAAGAGAGAGAAUUAACUAUAUAGUAUAGUAACAACAGUAAAUUAAUAACACAAAAACAAACAAAAGAAAACAAAUUAAAGAAAUACAAUUUUAUUUUUGAGAGCCGAAAGAAUCCAAAAAACCAGCACAUUGAAACUCGAAAUAAUAUUGAAUUUUCUUUGUCAAGCUAAUAAUUGCAGCCCCAGUGGUGUGCAUCAGCUUGGUGAUGAUAUGAUAGAGAAGAAACAGUACUCAUAUUUGUAUACAUAUAUAUAUAUAUAUUGAAUUCGAUCCCCUGUUCCCUCUCUUCUAGUCCACAGUCUAUAGCUAAUAAGCAUAUAAGCAUGCUCUCUCUCUCUCUAUAUAUAUACAUACAUACAUAUAUAUAUGGUCUCCUAUUAGUUAUGAUCUGUCCACACUGCCAGGGCACCCUAUACUCUCUCCACCUGUGAUCCCUAAUACCCCUUAUUUAUCCAGCUAUUCCUACAUACCUAUAACUCUACACAUCAUAUAGCUGCUUCUUAGCUGUUCUCUCUCUCUCUCUCUCUACACACAUCUUUUUCAAUCUUUUUUGUUCUAUCAAAUUUAAGCUUCUUGUUAGUUUUAUUAUAUUAUUAUUAUUAUUAUUGUUUUAUUUUCAAAAAUCUCCUUGUGCAUAUGUGUUUUGUCUUUGACCCCUCCAAACCCCUAAGCCCCCUAUAAAUAUAACACAUACUCAGCUUCAAAGGAUAUACAUCUAUCAACUUCCUCUUCUUCCUUGUAUAAUUCUUUUCUUCUUAUGAUUGAAAGUCUUAUUUCUUUUAUAUAACAUAUUAAUUUGAAUGUUCACAAGGGAAGAAGUGAAGCUGCCAGCAUGAUCUAGCUUUGUUUAGUAGAGAAAUCAAAAGAUGAUAUAGAUAUUGUUUUAUAAAUAAAUGCUAAUCUUAGCUAGGUCAUGCUGUGACAGCCUCACUCCUUCCUGUUUGAGAAUCAUUAGAAGAAAAAGCAAAAGCAAAAGGGUAAUUAAGAGAGUAGUUAUUUCACUGCAGACUAGCUUGGCUUUUCGUGCAAUCAACCCCAUGUGACAAAAGGAGUCCUCUUGCUAUUUUUUUAUGUUCUUUUGCUUUUUGUUUAGAGAUUAAUUAAUUAAUCCAUAGAUAUAGUUGAUUAUUGUAUAAAGUUUUUCACCAGUAAUUAGUUCUUUCUCCAACUAAAGCCUCGUUUUCAUUAAUGUAUGUAUUUACAGUUAUAUAUAUAGCACAGAUUUCGGAGUGCAUGAACUUUUUAAUCCAGUAUAUAUAGUACAAAAAAAGAAAAGAAAAUAAAGAGCAAGGUUAACAUUUUGUUUUC
Long non-coding RNA from Cannabis sativa, 1365 nucleotides. RefSeq lists it as uncharacterized. The transcript has 2 exons. NCBI's taxonomy places the organism in Eukaryota, Viridiplantae, Streptophyta, Magnoliopsida, Rosales, Cannabaceae. The record is from RefSeq and is a predicted model, not a curated record.